RNAcentral lists this ribosomal RNA (459 nucleotides) under uncultured microorganism. Its description in RNAcentral is "bacterial SSU rRNA". It matches the Rfam family "Archaeal small subunit ribosomal RNA", at positions 330 to 745 of the family's 1478-position model. The record is from RNAcentral.
GUGCACCAGUCGCGAAACCUCCGCAAUGCUCGAAAGAGCGACGGGGGGACUCCAAGUGCCUACGCUCAGCGUAGGCUGUUCCCGAGCCUAAAAAGCUCGGGGAGUAAGGGCUGGGUAAGACGGGUGCCAGCCGCCGCGGUAAUACCCGCAGCCCGAGUGGUGGCCGCUAUUAUUGGGCCUAAAGCGUCCGUAGCCGGCUCGGUAAAUGCCUGGGUAAAUCGUCUGGCCCAACCAAACGAAUUCCGGGUAGACUGCCGGGCUAGGGGACCGGAGGAGGGAGAGGGUACUCCAGGGGUAGGGGUGAAAUCAGCAAGGUGAGUUGCUGAUGUAACUUGCCUUGCAAGUCACAAUCCUGUAAUCCCCUGGAGGACCACCGGUGGCGAAGGCGCUCUCCUAGGACGGGUCCGACGGUGAGGGACGAAAGCCAGGGGAGCAAACCGGAUUAGAUACCCCUGUAGU